This is a small nuclear RNA of Jaculus jaculus (lesser Egyptian jerboa), 104 nucleotides long. The record is from RefSeq and is a predicted model, not a curated record. NCBI's taxonomy places the organism in Eukaryota, Metazoa, Chordata, Mammalia, Rodentia, Dipodidae.
AUACUUUCUUAGGCAGCACAUCUACUAAAACUGGAACUAUACAGACAUUAACAUGGCUCCUGUGCAGGGAUGAGACACAAAUUCAUGAAGUGGUCCAUAUUUUG